CUUUAUCACAUAAUAGGAGUUUAAAAUAAGGUAUACACAGUGAUAAAAAAAUUAAAUAAUAUUUAUUAAUUCAAUAAUUUAUAUACAAUUAUAAUAAUAAGUUCAACCAUCAACAAGCUGACGAUUUAUUUUGGGAUAUAAUUUUCAUCAAAACCUACAAUAGCCAACAUACACAGCAAGGAUUUGAAUGGCUAGAGACCAAAAAAAUAUACAGUCAGACUAAGUAGCCUCACUGCGAAUAGUCAACACACC
RNAcentral lists this long non-coding RNA (252 nucleotides) under Elaeis guineensis (African oil palm). RNAcentral's name for it is "long non-coding RNA (EGUI_LNC070901)". Lineage: Eukaryota; Viridiplantae; Streptophyta; Magnoliopsida; Arecales; Arecaceae. The record is from RNAcentral.